RNAcentral lists this ribosomal RNA (253 nucleotides) under uncultured bacterium. Its description in RNAcentral is "partial 16S ribosomal RNA". It matches the Rfam family "Bacterial small subunit ribosomal RNA", at positions 524 to 776 of the family's 1533-position model. The record is from RNAcentral.
UACGGGGGGGGCAAGCGUUGUUCGGAAUUAUUGGGCGUAAAGAGCUCGUAGGCGGCUUGUCACGUCGGGUGUGAAAGCCCGGGGCUUAACCCCGGGUCUGCAUUCGAUACGGGCAGGCUAGAGUGUGGUAGGGGAGAUCGGAAUUCCCGGUGUAGCGGUGAAAUGCGCAGAUAUCAGGAGGAACACCAAUUGCGAAGGCAGCUCGCUGGGACGUUACUGACGCUGAGACGCGAAAGCGUGGGGAGCAAACAGG